Molecule: transfer RNA, 81 nt
Filed under: Babesia orientalis
Lineage: Eukaryota; Apicomplexa; Aconoidasida; Piroplasmida; Babesiidae
Description: tRNA-Leu
Source: RNAcentral
AAAAGUAUAGUUUAACUUUAAAAACAAUUUUGUAAUUUAAAUAUUACUAAAUAAAUAAUAGUGUAAUUCUAUUUGCUUUUA